Molecule: ribosomal RNA, 253 nt
Filed under: uncultured bacterium
Lineage: Bacteria
Description: partial 16S ribosomal RNA
Rfam family: Bacterial small subunit ribosomal RNA
Source: RNAcentral
UACGUAGGAUGCAAGCGUUGUCCGGAAUUAUUGGGCGUAAAGCGCGCGCAGGCGGCCUUUUAAGUCUGAUGUGAAAGCCCACGGCUCAACCGUGGAGGGUCAUUGGAAGCUGGGGGACUUGAGUGCAGGAGAGAAGAGUGGAAUUCCACGUGUAGCGGUGAAAUGCGUAGAGAUGUGGAGGAACACCAGUGGCGAAGGCGACUCUUUGGCCUGUAACUGACGCUGAGGCGCGAAAGCGUGGGGAGCAAACAGG